Molecule: ribosomal RNA, 468 nt
Filed under: uncultured bacterium
Lineage: Bacteria
Description: partial 16S ribosomal RNA
Rfam family: Bacterial small subunit ribosomal RNA
Source: RNAcentral
GACGAACGCUGGCGGCGUGCUUAACACAUGCAAGUCGAACGGAAAGGCCCUGCUUUUGUGGGGUGCUCGAGUGGCGAACGGGUGAGUAACACGUGAGUAACCUGCCCUUGACUUUGGGAUAACUUCAGGAAACUGGGGCUAAUACCGGAUAGGAUCUCCUGCUGCAUGGUGGGGGUUGGAAAGUUUCGCCGGUUGGGGAUGGACUCGCGGCUUAUCAGCUUGUUGGUGGGGUAGUGGCUUACCAAGGCUUUGACGGGUAGCCGGGCUGAGAGGGUGACCGGCCCCAUUGGGCUUGGGAUGCGGCCCAGCCUAGAACGGGAGGCAACGGAGGGGAGUGGUGCAUAAUGGGAGGAGCCCUAGUGCGACAACGCCACGUGCGGGGUGUGAGCAUUCGGGUUGUAUACCACUUUCGCCUGUGCCGAGGCGUGAGUGACGGUAAUGGGUGAAGAAGCACCGGCUAACUACGUG